Zingiber officinale is the source of this 232-nucleotide long non-coding RNA. RefSeq lists it as uncharacterized. The record is from RefSeq and is a predicted model, not a curated record. The transcript has 3 exons. NCBI's taxonomy places the organism in Eukaryota, Viridiplantae, Streptophyta, Magnoliopsida, Zingiberales, Zingiberaceae.
AACCAAAGGCAAAACUCCAAGCUCUAGUGGCUUCACCGUGACCUAUGCCUCACCAUCGGAUCUUCCUGCUUCACCACUAGCUGUCGGCAGAGAGAAAACAAGAAGGUAUCGGAAUCAGUGUAGCUCCGGCCAAGAAUUUGCGACAGUAGGUAUUUUCAGCUAGCAAUUUCCAGCAGCAACCUCCCUGCUGUGAGGAUUGAGCAAUUUAUCUUUGCUGGCUGUAAACAAUCAU